RNAcentral lists this ribosomal RNA (253 nucleotides) under uncultured bacterium. RNAcentral describes it as "partial 16S ribosomal RNA". It matches the Rfam family "Bacterial small subunit ribosomal RNA", at positions 524 to 776 of the family's 1533-position model. The record is from RNAcentral.
CACGUAGGGCGCAAGCGUUGUCCGAAAUUAUUGGGCGUAAAGAGCUCGUAGGCGGUCUGUUGCGUCCGCUGUGAAAACCCGGGGCUUAACCCCUGGCUUGCAGUGGAUACGGACAGACUAGAGGUAGGUAGGGGAGAAUGGAAUUCCCGGUGUAGCGGUGAAAUGCGCAGAUAUCGGGAGGAACACCGGUGGCGAAGGCGGUUCUCUGGGCCUUACCUGACGCUGAGGAGCGAAAGCGUGGGGGGCGAACCGG